GAUGAAGAACGUAGCGAAAUGCGAUAAGUAAUGUGAAUUGCAGAAUUCAGUGAAUCAUCGAAUCUUUGAACGCACAUUGCGCCCAUUAGUAUUCUAGUGGGCAUGCCUGUUCGAGCGUCAUUAAGUCCACUUAAGCCCUGCUUAGUGUUGGGAGACUGCUCCAGCGGUGCUACCCUGUAGCUACCCUGCAGCUCCUCAAAGACAGCGGCGGAGUUGUGGUAUCCUCUGAGCUUAGUAACUUGUUCUAGCUUUCGAGUACACCACUUCCCCUGCCGUAAAACCCUUAAUUUUUAAUGGUUGACAUCGGAUCAGGUAGGAAUACCCGCUGAACUUAAGCAUAUCAAUAAGCGGAGGA
RNAcentral lists this unclassified non-coding RNA (355 nucleotides) under soil metagenome. RNAcentral's name for it is "partial contains 5.8S ribosomal RNA, internal transcribed spacer 2, and large subunit ribosomal RNA". The stretch from base 1 to 120 matches the Rfam family "5.8S ribosomal RNA", at positions 35 to 154 of the family's 154-position model. The record is from RNAcentral.